GCAUUGACAAGUCUCGAGGGAGAUAAAUGGAUCCACAAGGAGUAUGGUGAUGAAAGUUCCCUCAACUUAACAGACUCACAGAUGGGAGAAGGCAAAUAUCUGAAUGGCAUAUCUUAUUAUUAUCCUAAUGAAAGACCCAUGUGCUUAAGUGAUACUGUCAGUGGCGAUGCUAAUAAAUACAGGAAACUCUUGGAAAGUAUCUUAUUAUUAUCCUAAUGAAAGAUCCAUGUGCUUAAGUGAUACUGCCAGUGGUGAUGCUAAUAAAUACAGGAAACUCUUGGAAAAUGGUAAAAAUGUCCUGGAUUUAGCUCCUUUACCAGCUUUUGGGUCUGAAAGCACCAGUGAGCAUGCUGGAUCUUGUUUGUUUGAUGUUCCUAUUAGUUCAGGAAAUGCACUAAGCUGGCUUGGGGGAUCUAAUACUGUUCUUACUCAGCAAGAUAGCAACAGUAUACCUCUUGCAGCAAG
Molecule: long non-coding RNA, 465 nt
Filed under: Nicotiana benthamiana
Lineage: Eukaryota; Viridiplantae; Streptophyta; Magnoliopsida; Solanales; Solanaceae
Description: long non-coding RNA (NBEN_LNC015125)
Source: RNAcentral